This 1008-nucleotide long non-coding RNA is filed under the name Bemisia tabaci. RNAcentral describes it as "lncRNA ENSSSA1NGG004286". Lineage: Eukaryota; Metazoa; Arthropoda; Insecta; Hemiptera; Aleyrodidae. The record is from RNAcentral.
UGAAACUCUACUACUUGACAUGCUGGCUGUUGCCGUACUCAAUUUUUUCCUCUUAAUCCUCUUUUUUAGAUUAAAAAAUCCUUGUUAGGUCCCUGAACUAAAAAUUAAUUUUGGCCAUUUUGAAAAAUAGUCUGAAGCCGUGUAUAAAUUUAAUGGAAUCAAAACAAUGCACUACCAAUAUUAUUUCAAGCUGGUGUUGAGGUUUACAUAGAGGACCACUUCAUAGGCAUGUCUAAUUGGGCAAAGGAAAUGAGCUCAUUAAGUUUAAAGCCAGAAGUUGAACUAUGUCUGAUAAAUGAGUGAAGCAGCAUUUUGAAAUGUUGCACUUUGUCUGGCUUACGAACAGGUAAGCGUGAAUCAUCAGAUGCUGAGAAAGCUUCUAAAGUAUGUAAUUUGUUUUUCCUUAAUGUAAGUAGUGUCUAAUAUCUGAUCGUGAUUUUUUUUAGCAGAAGUUCAAAAGAAAGAUCUCGUGAAGAGGCACUGAAAGAAAUCAAAGCGGAAAAAAUGCUGAAGAAAGAGGAAAAGCGAGAAGACUCGGAGAGACGUGUGCGAGAGAAGAAAGCUGCUGAUGAGCGAUCUAGUCCUUCAUGGGAAUCGUCAAAUAGGGAGGAAUCAAGUCGGCAGAGCUCAAUGCAAUUCUCGAAAGACGAUUUAUCAAUAACACGGAAAUAUCAUGAUAGCAAUCAUUACUACACUGGGAGCAGUUCGCAGCCGCAAGUUGUUGAUGAACGGGAAUUGAGCAGUAUUUCUAAUUCCAGUGGUGGAUCUCUGCAUAGGCAUAGUCCAGAACCUGACAGAGAUUUGAAGCGGCGAAAAGUCGAAAGCAGCUCUUCAUCGAAGAGUUACAAAGUAGAGGAGCAACCAAAACAUAUUGAGUCUCUGAUAACACUCGACAAGAAAGAAAGGAGGGAUAAGUCUUCAAAGAAAACAUCCAAGUCUUCUGAUGGAGGUGAUUCAGCCAGAAAACCAGAUAAGCGAGACAGGAAAUCUCGAAAACGGGUAUGUUAA